GAAUCUAAAUCUAACACGGACUUCAAACACCCUGACAAUCACCAAGGAAGAUUGACUACACCGAGCUGUUUACAAGAUGCUUUUGAUGGUGACAUAUAGAGCAACAUGUGUUACACAAUGAAACAGAUCCAGAGAGAUGGACUGACCUUGCCCAUGACUCACAGAAAGUGACCAACCUAGCAAGCCUAGGACCCCAGACUGCCAUGAAAACAUCCACAUGUACAUGGUGUGGCGGCUCAUUUACAAAAAGGAGCUGCUAUUAUUGCCAUCUUGGCUAUCUGUGAUGCUUGCAACUCAUCGGGGCUCCUCGGGGCACAGGACUCCAGGACCGACUCUCCAGCACCGCCUCUCCAUCGCCAGUUCUUGCUACUAACCGCUGCCUUCUUGGAGGGUUUUCAUUUCCCAGUGUACACUUUCAGCGCAUAGAAUGUGCAUAUUAUAUUCAAAGGUUUCCUGUCACUUAAGUAGUAACGUCUUAGUUUUCUCUUAAGCUCUCACACCCAGCACACUGCCUGACAGAGAGCAUUUGUGAAAGGGUGCAUGAACUACACAGAAGUGAACUGAUGUGAGCUUUUUAUAUGUACACCUAAAAGUAAACGUUUUCAGAAUAUCAUGAUGGAGGGAACCAGAUUGCUGUUAUCAAACACACCUAGAUUCUGCAUCAUACAACCAGGUAUAACCUCUUAGUUCCCCUUCAGGUCAUCCCAGAAAGAUUAAACUGCAGCACUGAAAAAGUUCUGCAUAAUCAUUACUGAUAAUAUAUUGCAUAAAGCUAGAAAUUCUCCAAAUAAAAAAAGUCUAAGAAUAUAAUCUGGAAAAAUAGGGGGCCCUUUCCCAACCAAGCUUCUGCUCCUUGAGAACAUUCUACCACAGUAUAUAAUAUGAAAGGUGAGAAGUGUUAAGAAAAGGAUAAUAUCAAAUUUGACAUCUUGCAAGGAAAGCACCGUGAUUUUUUUUUAAUUUUCUUUAGAAAUCCAGGUGACAAAUCAGUCAUUCUUUUAAAAGACAUGUUGCAAUAUCACUGUUGAAUAGCCUUACUAGACAUUUAAACAUAGUCCUACUUCUAAUCCUGCCAGCUCUUCACAGUCUUAAUAUACAUAGGAAUCACUAUUUGAAGAUAUAUUUGCUUUUUAUAGGUUUAAUUCUUUACUGAGAGAAACAUGAAGCAACAACUAUGUUUGCCUUUUGUGCCCAACGUCUAUGAACAAUGCUUGCCACACAUUUGAAACUCAAUUAAUUGUUGAAUAAAUGAAUGAAUGAACUAGACUCAAUCUAAACAGCAUUUUAAAUUUUGUAUAACAAAAUAAUAUCAAUCUAGAAACAAUUAUGGUGCUAAAAGAAUCUGUUUUCCAUCAAAACUAUCUUAAUUCUCCAGUUUUAGUAAGUACAGAUUUUAAGCUUAGGGGGUUUCCUGCCAGUUUUUCAGCUACUUUACCUGGUCGUUUAGUUUUCCUUCCCUCCCUCCCUUAAACCCACUUUUCUUUUUUUCCUUUUUUCUGUUCCUCCUCUUACUUUCUCUUUUUUGAAAAAAAUGACCUUUAUCAAACAUGUGGUCACUGCUUAUAAUUAUCAAUUUCUAGAUAUUUAUCAAUAGCUUUUGCAAUAUUAUUUUGUUAUGCCAAAUUUAAAACAUUUAAAACCAACUUGUUACACUGUUUAGAUUAAUUUGAGUUUAGUUCAUUCAUUCAUUUAUUCCCCACACCCACCUCAGCCUCCUGAGUAGCUGAACUGCUGGCACAUGCCACACACCACUGAACCCAUUAAAUUUCUUUAAAUUUUCAGUAGAGACGAGGUCUUGCUACGUUGCUUGGACUGUAUCAAUAGCUUUUAAUACAGCUUAUUUUUGCUUCCUACUGCCUAAGCCGAACUUAAAUGUAAAAUUUCGAAGAUAAUCCUUAGAUCUAUCUUAAAAUGAAUAUGUUAACAGCAGACUUUGUCAAGUUAGAUUUAACGAUGCCACUCGACUUCUAAAUCAUGGCGUAUCUUUGUGUUGAAAUAUCUCUCAAUUGCUUACUUAGUAGUAAUUUUUAAAAUAUAAGUUUCUAUUUUUUCUUUUUUUUUUGAGACAGCAUCUCGCUCUGUCACCCAGGCUGGAGUGCAGUGGCGCGAUCUUGGCUCACUGCAACCUCCAUCUCCUAGGUUCAAGCGAUUCUUCUGCCUCAGCCUCCUGAGUAGCUGGGACUACAGGCGCGCGCCACCACACCUGGCUAAUUUUUGUAUUUUUAGUAGAGACAGGGUUUCACCAUAUUGGCCAGGCUCAUGAUCUACCCACCUCGGCCUCCCAAUGUGCUAGGAUUACAGGCAUGAGCCAUGGCGCCCGGCCAAGUUUCUAUUCUUAAAAUAAAGAGGUUAUACAUCUAAAUUACAAAUCGUGGCCAAAAAGAGAGACAAUUUUUACUACGUUUUCCCCCCAGUAUGUAAAUACUGUGUAUGUGAUUCAUACAGGGCAUCGUCGGUGGAUUUUGGGCAAGUAAUAGCCCUUUCAAACGAACUGCUUCUCAAGCUACUCAUUUGUUUCCUAGGAUUAGAGGGUAGAAAUCCUGAUUUUGGUAUUCACUUACUAAACCUUUCAUGUCCAAUUUUUACUUGACUUAAAUGUUAUUUCUCCAAGAUGUUGUUAACUCCCUUGCAAUCCAAUAAUACUAUUGAGCAUUUUUCCUUUCUUAACUGUGAUUAUAUUUGUCACCUAUAUGCUCAUUUAUUUAUAUGCGUUUCUACCUUUUAUAUGUAUUGCUACCUGACACUAUCUCUGACCUCAAAUAAAGUAACAUUUUAUUUCUGUGGUCUUUA
This is a long non-coding RNA of Homo sapiens (human), 2790 nucleotides long. RefSeq lists it as uncharacterized. Lineage: Eukaryota; Metazoa; Chordata; Mammalia; Primates; Hominidae. The record is from RefSeq and is a predicted model, not a curated record. The transcript has 2 exons.